Non-coding RNA from Macaca mulatta (Rhesus monkey), 1673 nucleotides. The record is from RefSeq and is a predicted model, not a curated record. Lineage: Eukaryota; Metazoa; Chordata; Mammalia; Primates; Cercopithecidae.
GGCAAGGCGGGGAGGGGCGGGGCGAGGCGGGGCGGGGCAGGGCGGGAAGUGGAGUGGCGCGAGGGGCUGGGCGCGGAGGGGCUGGGCGCAGAGGGGCGGGGCCUCCCGCGUACCUGAGACGAGCUGCGCCUGCGUCCUCCGCGACUCCGCGCUUGGCAGCCCCUUCUGGGAAGGUGUAAAAUGCCGCCAGGUGGCCACCUUAUGAGAAUGCUGACAUCUUCACCUGAAAGCAAGCACAGAGUCACCAUCAUGCCUUCUUCAUCAUCUUUAUCUGCACUUCUCUCUCUCUUUCAAGCACUUCGAAGGGUUUCCCUGAGUGGGCUUCAGGAGAUCCAGUGUUACUCAAAGUCUAGUAUAUAUUUGGGAGAAGAGAGAAAUAAAAAGGCUAGGCUCUAAAGGGUCUUGAAUAUCUUACUGAGGAAUUUGCCCAUUAAUCCACAGGAUACAUAGUCGAAUAAGCUAGGAACUAUUUGUAGUGAGAUGAGUUGCUUUUUUCUUUUUUCAUUCCCUCCCUCAUCAUCUUCUUACCUGGAUAACUGUUACCCACCAAACUAAGGUAACAAUGGGAUAAUGCCUGGUCACAGAUGCUCCACCAAGAGAACUAAUCAUGAAAGUCUCAUUUCUCAGUGCCCUCCCACAAAGCCCUUCCUCAAAACACCCGUCUGCCUCCUCCAAACCCCACUAAUCAAUGAAACUUCAUAGCACUAAAAGGCUGACACAGUUGUAUUAGAGGUCUAAAUGAAAAAUAUUCAGCACCUAGAGCAGGAGGCAAUAGCACCAGUGGGGUCAAAGGAAAUCUAUGAAGGAGGAAACAAAGAGAGAAUCCAAAAACAAAAGGUUUUCCACCAACUACAUGAUUGGCUCACCCAGGCUGAGCAACUGGUCCAAAGAGGAUGAGAGCACAUGAAACUGAUCAGGAUUCAAGAACAAAGGCCCCAAACUCACUGAGAAGAGCAGAGAAACAUCUAAACCCCUACUUCUGUGACCUCUGUAUGGACUGGAAGAAAUGACUCAAACCUGAAGCAAAUGACCCUGCAUUCUUCUGGACCCAUGUCAACUUGCUUAAAUUGGAACUCCAUUUCCCCAAAUUUAUUUCCCUACAUGGUUACAAGUUAGGUUGGCCAAAAAGAAGAAUUGAGGCAAGAUUUGGAAGGUGAAAGUGGAGCAGAGCCACUCCCUCUGAAGAUCCUUGUGACUACACAUGGUGGUAGACACACAGAGAUUCUGGCAGGUUCCAGCUCGUCCUCCUCCCCAUGUCUAGCUCUUCUUUCCAACUCCAGUCCCUGCUGGCCAGAGGACCCAAGAUGACUCCAGAGCUUGGUGGGAGACCUCCAGAAGUAUCAGCUAUCUAUGGACUUUUCCACAGCUCCUCUCCUGGGUACCACUCCAGCAGUUAGACAUGUGCGGCUUCCUAGAAUCAUUACAAGUUCUGGCCUUACAAGUCCACCUGUACAGGACUUCAAGAUGGCUGGUUAGUGACUUUUCUCUAAUCCUUCAAUUCUGCUUUCAGACCUUUACUUCACCAGUUUCUCACAUAAUUCUGCAAGAGAUUAGUCUCUUAUCAGUAAGAUUCUAGUGGUUCUGCUUCCCUGAUUAAACCCCUCUAAUACACCAUUCAUGUUCUUGGCUACCUAGCAAUAAGAUUGUGUGGAUUGUACUACCCUUCCCUUCCA